Molecule: long non-coding RNA, 676 nt
Organism: Homo sapiens (human)
Lineage: Eukaryota; Metazoa; Chordata; Mammalia; Primates; Hominidae
Exons: 3
Source: RefSeq, a predicted model, not a curated record
CUCUGCCAACACCUUGAUCUCAGAUUUCUAGCCUCCAAAGGUUAUACCAUGCAGUUUCUCAAAACUAUUUCAAGGACAUGUUGGAAGGAACUGGAGGUUGCAGUUGACUCUGUUGUAGCCUUGCCAGCAUACGUUUUCUGGACUGAAAGCACCUGUCUCUCACUUUCUAGGCAAAGAAAAUGAAGUCAUAAAAUCGGGAACCUGCAUUUGCUUCCAGGAAUUGUCAACAUCCUUUAACCUGAAGAACUGUUUCAAAGGGACGUGUGGAGUUGGCCAGAACUAUCCUUAAGCAGUACUUUAUAUUUAUCCAGAUAAUUAGCUGAAACCUUCAAUUUUCAUGUCAUAGAUUUAAUAGAUAAUUUAGUCUUUAAAAUUCUAAAGCUAGUGUUAGACAUUAGCUAGUUUAAUUGAGAUAGAAAUUAAUUAAGCUGACUAACUUAGGGCUGCCAUAAAAUGUUAGCUAUAAAGAGUUCUGCCCCCACUCCCAGGUUAUUGAAUAAAUUAUCUUACAUAGUCCUUUCUAAGACUGUAGUCAAAAUUAUUAUGUGAAGUUUUAUAAGCAAUAAUACUAGGCUAUUUUUCCGUUAUUCAUUUUCUUGUCAAGCAAUUACUUUUAACUGAUUUUUAAACAAUUUUUAAUCAGUGGACUCCAGAAAAGAAAUGGUUUUAGUUUUCU